AUUAGGACAAAAAUGUCUAAUUGCUUUUCCACUGUUUGUAUUAAUGAAUGCAGAAAAUGCCCUAAAGGUAAAUUAAAAAUAAAAAUGGGUCAAUGGAGCAGGAAGAAAUGAUUCAGUCAGACUGGAACUCGUUGGGAUUAACUUUGCCGAGAUAAUCUCACCACAAUCAGGCAACUCCUCCAGAAACUAAUGUCUGCAUUUAUGCUCAGAAGAGAUGCUCGUUCCUCUUGCUGUCUGCCACCAGUACGCAGGUCACAAAAGUAAAAAUGUACCCGAGGAAGAAAAAGAGUAAGGAGGAGAAAUACACGAGAUAGGAAACCAAGGGGUCACUGCUGGGGAGGCGCCAUGACCCACGAGAGAAAGGUUACCGUGAGCCCCAGAAGGCAGAGGCAGGCUCUGCAGCCCCCCACUGGGGUGAAUGUUUUCAUGAAAUCACAGACCCCAUCUCAAAAGACACUUCAGGUUGUGUGCAUCCCACAUGUAACACUCAGUGGUAGAGAGAGCUUUGAAGAUGCAUGCGACCAGCCACAAAUCCCCAAAGCCCUUGCUGCCCUCUGUCCUCCCUGGAAGGUGAUCCACCACUUGGGACAACCCAUGCCGGCCUCUUCCAGCUGCGGUUCUCACCAUUGAGCUGUCGGUAACCCCCAAGUCCAUUUAGAGCAUUGAUUGUGACUGAUUCCAUGCCUUAAUUAAACAUGGAAAUGCGUCAUGAACUAUCAGAUCAGAAUGAACGUUUCCUGGGACCAAACUGAUUUCUUUGGACAGGAUAGAACAUGUUUUUAAGAAACUUCAAAAACUUCAAUGGCAUCAUAUAACUUCAGA
Molecule: long non-coding RNA, 822 nt
Filed under: Mus spicilegus (steppe mouse)
Lineage: Eukaryota; Metazoa; Chordata; Mammalia; Rodentia; Muridae
Description: lncRNA (ENSMSIG00000015258.1)
Source: RNAcentral